Molecule: long non-coding RNA, 729 nt
Filed under: Cricetulus griseus (Chinese hamster)
Lineage: Eukaryota; Metazoa; Chordata; Mammalia; Rodentia; Cricetidae
Description: lncRNA (ENSCGRG00015041147.1)
Source: RNAcentral
GGAAUGACAUAUUUUUGAUGCCAAGACUUUCUGUGUACUUGAAAUAAACAAUUAGACUGAGCUAACUGUCAUAACCUUCAGAGACAUUUGGGGAAUAUUUUCACACAAAGAUCCUUCAUCCAGCAGCUGAUGGAAGUAGAAGCAGACACCCACAGCUAAUCACUGAACUCCUGGAAUCCAGUUGAAGAGAAGGAGGAAAGAUGAGCAAAGGGGUCAAGACCAGGCUGGUGACACCCACAGAAACAGCUGAAUUGAAGAAGGGGGGACUCUUGGUCCUCAGACUUAUAGCUGGGAAACCAGCAUGGGAUUGAUCCAGAUCCCAUGAAUGUGGGUAUCACUGAGGAGGCCUCGGAAAUCUAUGUGGCCUCUUGUAGUAGAUCAGUACUUAUCCAUAGUAUAGGUGUGGAAUUUGGCCUUGGAAAUCUAUGUGGCCUCUUGUAGUAGAUCAGUACUUACCCCUAGCAUAGGUGUGGAAUUUGGGAGCCCAUUCCACAUAGAGGGAUACUUCCUGAGCCAAGACACAUGGGGGUGGACCUAGGCCCUAUCCCUAAAGAUAUGACAGAAUCUGAAGACUCCCCAUGAAAGGCCCCCCCUCCCUGGGGAGCAGAAAGGGUAUGGGAUAGGUAGGGUUUUAAUGGGGGUCAGGGGAGGAGGGAAGGGAAAGGGAACUGGGAUUGACAUGUAAAACAAUCUUGUUUCUAAUUUAAAUAAAAAAUGGAAAAAACUGUA